Molecule: non-coding RNA, 105 nt
Organism: Trichosporon asahii var. asahii CBS 2479
Lineage: Eukaryota; Fungi; Basidiomycota; Tremellomycetes; Trichosporonales; Trichosporonaceae
Source: the annotation of a RefSeq genome assembly
GGUCGCGUGGCCCAAUGGCAAGGCGUCUGACUACGACUCAGCAACGAGGUCAUCUCGGGGCAGGAGUACAUCAGGAGAUUGCGGGUUCGAUCCCCGUCGUGACCU